GGUCUGAUGGAGCUACAUUCUCUCAGCUUUCAUUUUUCCUGGAUAUCUUCAUGUAUCGUUCAUUCCUGGAUGAUACCCUGGGUACAGUAGUUUAUUUAAAGUUUAUUUUUUCUUCAGCACUGUGAAAAGCUCAAGUUACUUUCUCCUAGCCUGUAAGGGCUCUGGUAACAAUUAGCAACGUCAGAAAAGAAGAUAGUUUUGCUUAUUAUCAUUGAAGACCUGAUGGUGUUCUCUGGCAUCUAUUAGAUAAAGUCAGUGAUGCUGCUAGUCAUCCUGCAAUGCACAGGACAGCCUCCACAACCAAGGGUCAUCUGCCUGAAAGUGACCUUAUGCUCUCCAGUUCCUGGGGUUGCAGUGACAUCCACGUGAACAGAUAUCUGACCCACUGCAUCUUUGGAGGAGCGACCUGCGAAGCUUCACAGUUGCAUCUCACUAUACUGAGGAUCAAACCUUAAAACCCAACCUUUGACUAGGAUGCCUUUUAUUCCAUCCACACUGCUGGUACCUGCUGCUAUCAUUGAACUCAUUCUUCAAAACCUACUAUUUUAAAUUUUUUUUAAACUGCAAGUUUGGAACAUUUUCCAUAUUCUAUGAAGCCCUGUCCAAAUAGCUGUAUUAUUAAAUUCUUUCAUUUUUAAAUUAUAAAUCUUUAAUUACAUUCUUGAUUGCCUCAUACUAUGUAACAUGGUACAAAGACUUGUGGCAAUGGAACAAGACUCCCCUGAAUAUGUUUUCUGUUGCUCAUUAACACUUAAUUAAAACUCUGUGGACUUUCAUUUUCUUAUUUUUAAAUGGUGAGAAAACCACAUAUAUAUAAGCAUUAUUAUAAGGAUAAAAGAUUUUUUUUAAAAAAUGUGGAUUAUAUGCCCAUAAUAACUGCCCAAUAAAUGGAAUGUGUUUAAUACUUUAAUCCCUUAAAGAUUCAUGAAUAAUGCCAUAUGUGAAAAUUAUGUAAAACCCCCAUGAAUAUUAUAGUUAUCUAAACCAUAAUAUUAUAUCUUUGAAGGGACUAGAGUUUUCCUCAAUGACUUUGUAAUUCUUUUAUCUGUAAAAUUUCCUUAGUUGAGUACAAUAAAGAUGUCAGAUUUUCAAGGACCUCCAAAUGGGAAAAGCCCCUCCCUGCCACCGUCAUAAAACAUCAAUCCGGUCAAAUGUAUUUUCUCAAUAGUUUUUUAAAACUAUUGUUGAAAUCAGGGAUAGCAAGAAAAUUCCUUCAAACAGAAAAUGCAUACAUCUUGUGACUUAUCAAAAAGACAAAAGAUAACAAGUACUGGUAAUGACUUGAAGGGAACCUUUAUGCACUUGGUAGAAAUAUAAAUUGGGAGUCAUUAUGAAAAACAGUAUGGAGUUUACUUAAAUUAAAAAUAGAGCUACAAUACAAUCUAGAAAUCCCAUUAUUGGCCAUACAUCCAAAGGAAAUGAAAUUAAUCCAUCCAAAAGACAUCAGAACAACCCUGUUCACUGCAGCACUAUUCACAAUAGCCAGGAAAUAGAGACAACCUAAGUGUUCAGCAGCUGAGUGGACAGAAAGUGCACAUAUGGUGCACAUAUACACCAUGGAAUACCAUUCAGCCAUAAAAAAUGAAAUCCUGCAAUUUGCAACAUGGAUGGAAUUGAGAGGUCAUUAUGUUAGGUGAAAUAAGCCAGACACAGAAAGACAAGUGCUGCAUAACUUCACUCAUGGAAUUUUAUAAUAUUGAUCUCUUACAAAUUGAGAAUGGUGCUUUCCAGGGACUGGGGAGUAGAGGAGAGGAAGACAGAAAGGUAGAUCAAUGGAGACAGAGAUGGGAGCAAGAUGUUAUAUAAAAAAUGAAAAUCAAGACUACAACGAAUAGCCAUCCUGACUGGGGUCGGAUGGUAAUAUCAAAAUUUUUAAAAAAAGGCUGAUGAGGAGGAGGAGAAAAAGUAACUCUUAUACCCUGUUAUUGGGAAUGUAAAUCAGUGUAGCCAUUAUGGAGAAAAUUAUGGAGGAUUUUCAAAAAACUAAAUACAUAUCUACCAUAUGAUCCAACUAUCCCAGUUCUGGGUAGAUAUCCAAAGGAAAUGAAAUCAUCAUACAAAUGGGCCACCUGCAUGCCCAUACUUAUUGCAGCACGUUUCACAAUAGCUAAGGUGUGGAAUCAGCCUAGGUGUGUAUCAACAGAUGAAUGGAUAAAGAAAAUGUGGUAUACAUACAAAAUGGAGUUUUAUCCAGCCAUAAGAAAAAGUAAAACCUGUCACUUGCAGCAAAAUGGAUGGAGGUA
This is a long non-coding RNA of Marmota monax (woodchuck), 2243 nucleotides long. RefSeq lists it as uncharacterized. The record is from RefSeq and is a predicted model, not a curated record. NCBI's taxonomy places the organism in Eukaryota, Metazoa, Chordata, Mammalia, Rodentia, Sciuridae. The transcript is spliced from 4 exons.